AUGCACGCUGGCGGCGUGCCUCAUCCAUGCAAGUCGCGCGAACAGACGAGGAGCUUGCUCCUCUGACGUUAGCGGCGGACGGGUGAGUAACACGUGGAUAACCUACCUAUAAGACUGGGAUAACUUCGGGAAACCGGAGGUAAUACCGGAUAAUAUAUUGAACCGCAUGGUUCAAUAGUGAAAGACGGUUUUGCUGUCACUUAUAGAUGGAUCCGCGCCGCAUUAGCUAGUUGGUAAGGUAACGGCUUACCAAGGCGACGAUGCGUAGCCGACCUGAGAGGGUGAUCGGCCACACUGGAACUGAGACACGGUCCAGACUCCUACGGGAGGCAGCAGUAGGGAAUCUUCCGCAAUGGGCGAAAGCCUGACGGAGCAACGCCGCGUGAGUGAUGAAGGUCUUCGGAUCGUAAAACUCUGUUAUUAGGGAAGAACAAAUGUGUAAGUAACGAUGCACGUCUUGACGGUACCUAAUCAGAAAGCCACGGCUAACUACGU
This 495-nucleotide ribosomal RNA is filed under the name uncultured bacterium. Its description in RNAcentral is "partial 16S ribosomal RNA". It matches the Rfam family "Bacterial small subunit ribosomal RNA", at positions 29 to 506 of the family's 1533-position model. The record is from RNAcentral.